CAGUCGAUACUAGAGGUAAAGAGCUGAUUGAAUUAUGCCUGGGGAACCAAAUUCGUUUGUUAAACGGUAGAACUUUGGGUGAUUCUUUAGGUAAAUAUACAUGCUAUAAUCACAUGGGUACCAGUGUUGUCGAUUAUUUACUGGCUUCAGAUAGUUUGAUGCAAAACAUUUUGUAUUUUAAUGUUUCAACUUUUAACCCAACUUUAAGUGACUGUCACUGUAAAUUAUCAUGGAAAAUUCUUAGCCAUCAUUUCCUUGAUAUAAUUCCACAGCCGAAUUCUAAAGUCAUGGGUAGUAAAUUCAAAUGGCAGGAAAACUCCCCUCAGGCCUUUCAAUCAGCUCUGCAAGAUAAAGACAGCAAAAAUCUUAUUUCACAUUUUGAUACCAGCUCUGAUAUUAAUGAGCUGGCUGUGAAACUUAAUGAAAUUUUAUUAACAGCCUCUAAAAAAUGUUUGAGGCGUCCUUCUCCACCGAAAAAAUCUUCAAGAAAAAUAUACACAAAUAAAAAGUUUUUUGAU
Molecule: long non-coding RNA, 518 nt
Filed under: Mytilus galloprovincialis (Mediterranean mussel)
Lineage: Eukaryota; Metazoa; Mollusca; Bivalvia; Mytilida; Mytilidae
Source: RNAcentral